UGAAUACGAGAUGCUACGGCGUCGAAGCAGUCUAUGUCAUACUUCCAAGAAAAGCUUGCACUGUCAUAAACAAAUAAUGCCUGUACCAUAACCGACACAGGUGGGUAGGUAGAGUAUACUAAGGGGCGCGAGAUAACUCUCUCUAAGGAACUCGGCAAAAUGACUCCGUAACUUCGGGAGAAGGAGUGCCUUAUUUAUAAGGUUGCAAUAACAAGAUCCAAGCAACUGUUUACCAAAACACAGGUCUCCGCUAAGUCGUAAGACGAUGUAUGGGGGCUGACGCCUGCCCAGUGCCAGAAGGUUAAAGAAGUUGGUUAGCAUCCGCGAAGCUGAUAACUGAAGCCCUGGUGAACGGCGGCCGUAACAAUAACGGUCCUAAGGUAGCGAAAUUCCUUGUCGGGUAAGUUCCGACCCGCACGAAAGGCGUAAUGAUUUGGAUACUGUCUCGGAGAGGGGCUCGGUGAAAUAGACUUGUCUGUGAAGAUGCGGACUACCUGCACCAGGACAGAAAGACCCUAUGAAGCUUUACUGUAACCUGAAAUUGAAAUUGGACUUUACUUGCGCAGUAUAGGUGGGAGGCGUUGAGAAUAUUCUUGCGGGAUUAUUGGAGCCAUCAGUGAGAUACCACUCUUGUAAUGUUAGAUUUCUAACUUUGUAUCAUUAUCUGGUCAAAGAACAGUUUCAGGCGGGCAGUUUGACUGGGGCGGUCGCCUCCUAAACGGUAACGGAGGCGCACAAAGGUUUCCUCUGAACGGGUAGAAAUCGUAUCUAGAGUGUAAAGGCAUAAGGAAGCUUGACUGUGAGACCUACAAGUCGAGCAGGGACGAAAGUCGGUCUUAGUGAUCUGACGGUGCUGAGUGGAAAGGCCGUCACUCAACGGAUAAAAGUUACUCUAGGAUAACAGGCUGAUCUCCCCCAAGAGUUCACAUCGACGGGGAGGUUUGGCACCUCGAUGUCGGCUCAUCGCAUCCUGGGGCGGUAGUACGUCCCAAGGGUUGGGCUGUUCGCCCAUGAAAGCGGUACGCGAGCUGGGUUCAGAACGUCGUGAGACAGUUCGGUCCAUAUCCGGUGUAGGCGUUAGAAUAUUGAGAGGAGCCUUCUUUAGUACGAGAGGACCGAGAAGGACAUACCUCUGGUGUACCAGUUAUCGUGCCAACGGUAAACGCUGGGUAGCUAUGUGUGGAGUGGAUAACCGCUGAAAGCAUCUAAGUGGGAAGCCCACCUCAAGAUAAG
This 1233-nucleotide ribosomal RNA is filed under the name metagenome. Its description in RNAcentral is "bacterial LSU rRNA". It matches the Rfam family "Bacterial large subunit ribosomal RNA", at positions 1564 to 2808 of the family's 2925-position model. The record is from RNAcentral.